UUUAAAGUCUGACCUGCCCACUGAAAUUUUUUAAAUGGCCGCAGUAUACUAACUGUGCAAAGGUAGCAUAAUCAUUAGUCUUUUAAUUGAAGGCUGGUAUGAAUGGUUGGACGAGAUAUUAACUGUUUCAUAAGAAUUUAUAAUAGAAUUUUAUUUUUUAGUCAAAAAGCUAAAAUAUAUUUAAAAGACGAGAAGACCCUAUAAAUCUUUAUAUUUAGAUUAUUAUAAUUUUAUAGAUUUUUUUUGUUAUAAUAAUCAAUGAUAUUUUAUUGGGGUGAUAUUAAAAUUUAAUAAACUUUUAAUUGUUAAAAUCAUUAAUUUAUGAAUAAUUGAUCCGUUAUUAGCGAUUAAAAAAAUAAGUUACUUUAGGGAUAACAGCGUAAUUUUUUUGGAGAGUUCAUAUCGAUAAAAAAGAUUGCGACCUCGAUGUUGGAUUAAGAUAUAAUUUUAGGUGUAGCCGCUUAAAUUUUAAGUCUGUUCGACUUUUAAAUUCUUACGUGAUCUGAGUUCAGACCGGA
RNAcentral lists this ribosomal RNA (518 nucleotides) under Calliphora vicina (urban bluebottle blowfly). Its description in RNAcentral is "partial 16S ribosomal RNA". It matches the Rfam family "Bacterial large subunit ribosomal RNA", at positions 1844 to 2620 of the family's 2925-position model. Lineage: Eukaryota; Metazoa; Arthropoda; Insecta; Diptera; Calliphoridae. The record is from RNAcentral.